RNAcentral lists this ribosomal RNA (333 nucleotides) under Escherichia coli. RNAcentral describes it as "bacterial LSU rRNA". It matches the Rfam family "Bacterial large subunit ribosomal RNA", at positions 1 to 371 of the family's 2925-position model. RNAcentral also lists the same sequence under 5 other names. Lineage: Bacteria; Pseudomonadati; Pseudomonadota; Gammaproteobacteria; Enterobacterales; Enterobacteriaceae. The record is from RNAcentral.
GUUAAGCGACUAAGCGUACACGGUGGAUGCCCUGGCAGUCAGAGGCGAUGAAGGACGUGCUAAUCUGCGAUAAGCGUCGGUAAGGUGAUAUGAACCGUUAUAACCGGCGAUUUCCGAAUGGGGAAACCCAGUGUGAUUCGUCACACUAUCAUUAACUGAAUCCAUAGGUUAAUGAGGCGAACCGGGGGAACUGAAACAUCUAAGUACCCCGAGGAAAAGAAAUCAACCGAGAUUCCCCCAGUAGCGGCGAGCGAACGGGGAGCAGCCCAGAGCCUGAAUCAGUGUGUGUGUUAGUGGAAGCGUCUGGAAAGGCGCGCGAUACAGGGUGACAGC